CAGGAGCUGGUAACUGGAGAGCAGAGCGAGCGUGAGCUGCGAAUAGCCAAGCGGCGAGAACGGGGCAGCAGCGGCUCCGGUCGAGGUUUCUCCCGCAUGCUUCGUUGACUCCGCCGAAGAGCUCGUCGGAGAGGUCAAGACGGCAGGUUUGAGCUUGGGUUUCGACCGGGAAGGCAGGUACGGGGUUGGGUAAGGUUUGAGCUUGGGUUUCGACCGGGAAGGCAGGUACGGUGUUGGGUGUGACCGGUUCGAGGAGUAGAUUGGCUGAGACGGUGUGAGAGAGGAGAGAACAGAGGAUGAUGAGGAGUGAAGUGAAGCUUUUCUUCAUUGUUAGAGGCUACAGAGAGAGAGGAAGAGAUAGAGAAAUGGAUUUAUAAAAUUAUGACGCUCUCAAAUCUCUCUGUGACUGUCUUUUAGAUUCACGAAGAAAAUCAGCCUUCCAUUAUUCACUAUCUUCUCUCUCUUUUGUUCUUUCUAUAGGAUUAUUGUGGAGAGAGAAAGAUGUGAUUGAAAAAAAACAAGAGAUUCCUGACUUUGGCAGUUUCUGGUUUGUUUUUAGAGUCU
RNAcentral lists this long non-coding RNA (564 nucleotides) under Brassica napus (rape). RNAcentral describes it as "long non-coding RNA (BNAP_LNC000301)". The record is from RNAcentral. Lineage: Eukaryota; Viridiplantae; Streptophyta; Magnoliopsida; Brassicales; Brassicaceae.